Molecule: ribosomal RNA, 433 nt
Filed under: uncultured bacterium
Lineage: Bacteria
Description: partial 16S ribosomal RNA
Rfam family: Bacterial small subunit ribosomal RNA
Source: RNAcentral
AGCGAACGCUGGCGGCAGGCCUAACACAUGCAAGUCGAACGAACUCUUCGGAGUUAGUGGCGGACGGGUGAGUAACACGUGGGAACGUGCCUUUAGGUUCGGAAUAACUCAGGGAAACUUGUGCUAAUACCGAAUGUGCCCUUCGGGGGAAAGAUUUAUCGCCUUUAGAGCGGCCCGCGUCUGAUUAGCUAGUUGGUGAGGUAAAAGCUCACCAAGGCGACGAUCAGUAGCUGGUCUGAGAGGAUGAUCAGCCACAUUGGGACUGAGACACGGCCCAAACUCCUACGGGAGGCAGCAGUGGGGAAUCUUGCGCAAUGGGCGAAAGCCUGACGCAGCCAUGCCGCGUGAAUGAUGAAGGUCUUAGGAUUGUAAAAUUCUUUCACCGGGGACGAUAAUGACGGUACCCGGAGAAGAAGCCCCGGCUAACUUCGUG